UACACUUCUUGUUUCAACUAUCUGCAAGUCAACAUUGUAAUCAAAACACAGUACUCCACACUAAUUAGAUAGCAGUGCUACUGCACAUAGGAAUCUUGUGGGACAUAGAUUUCUUAUGUGAUGUAGCUACAAAUGGAUCUCAAGUUCCAUGAUACAUAAUCAAAUGAAGAACCCAAUCAAUAGUCCAUUAAUUGACGGUAACAUACAUUUAGAACUUGCAAAUCUUCAAACUUAUUUGCAAAAAUGAAAAAAAUAUGCCUAGAGAAACAGCAUUUUACACCACUUAAGUACGACUGGUAGAUAGAGUAGCUUACCUUGAUUCUUUCAACAAAUUAUCAUUAUGGAACCCAGAAGUUGGAGACCUCAAAGUAAAUUACCAUUUACCAAUUUUAGAGGAAACACAGAGCAAACUGUAAAAAUCAAUAUCAUGAAGAAUAGAAAACCAAGAGAAAAACCCUCAACAGAAUGUAAACUUCCAUAAUUUAAAUUAGGAAACCUUGUCUCACUUUCCCAGGGCUGAGUUAAGAUGUAAUGACUGAGCCCAUGAUGCCCAAUUGACCAACCACCAAAUAUGUGUCUGAAUUCUACUACCUAACCCUCCCUCGAUCUUCCUCCUCUUCCUUUUCUCUCUUUCUUUUUGUUCUUCUAUUAUCUUUUAACAACCAGUCUCUGUCACUGUAAUCAAGGCAUAGACAGGAAAAAAAAAUCUGAUUGAAGAAAAUGGAGCCAUAUUGCACAAAAGAAGGUGGUAACCAAUUAAUCAUAUCCUGAUCUAAUUUCAAUCAUCAGUCCAGGCCUCAAGGAGAUCAUCAUAAUCCUUGAAUGUGAUAGCUCAGACAUUCAAAGAUGUUAUCGUACAAACACAACCAUUUAACCUCCGUAGAAGUUGCUCUUGGCAGCAGCUAUACCUAACAUGAUAUUUGCUUAUGCUUGCUAGAAAUUAGAAUAUUUGGUAAGCUUAAUAACAAAUAUAUCAUAAAAUGCAAAAUCAACAGGGUUGUAUAAUAAUACAUGUAGGAGAUUAUCAUAUUCCACAAUUCAAUUAUAACAAGCAUCCAUCACAGUCUCACUCACAUAUGGUCAGAGAAGCUUAACAACCCAUUGUUACUUUUAAUCAGAGAAAACAUUAAACAAUUAAAAAGAAAAGGUAGUGCUUCGAUCAAAUUCAUGUGAUCAAAUGUAGGACCAAUUGCACAUAGUUUGUAGGACUUACUAUACAACAAUUUUAGCGGAACAGAAAAACAUAUGAUAGCACUGAAAUAAAUAAAUAAAUAAUAAAGGGAAAUUAAAAACUCUUGCCUGGGGAGUUGAUAGAAUCUCAAA
Molecule: unclassified non-coding RNA, 1323 nt
Filed under: Hevea brasiliensis (rubber tree)
Lineage: Eukaryota; Viridiplantae; Streptophyta; Magnoliopsida; Malpighiales; Euphorbiaceae
Source: RNAcentral